RNAcentral lists this transfer RNA (69 nucleotides) under Bilobella aurantiaca. RNAcentral describes it as "tRNA-Val". The record is from RNAcentral. Lineage: Eukaryota; Metazoa; Arthropoda; Collembola; Poduromorpha; Neanuridae.
AAAAGUAGACCUUGAAUUAUAAGGGGUUCAUUUACAUUGAAUAAAUCUAUAGUAGUUAUAGUAUUUUUA